CUAGAAUGAUGAGAUUCCACUUCAUCGGUCCGUGUUUCUGAAACACAUGAUUUUGUGGAAGUUCUGACUUG
RNAcentral lists this small nucleolar RNA (71 nucleotides) under Glareola pratincola. RNAcentral's name for it is "Small nucleolar RNA SNORD18". It matches the Rfam family "Small nucleolar RNA SNORD18". From Rfam's summary of the family: U18 is a member of the C/D class of snoRNA which contain the C (UGAUGA) and D (CUGA) box motifs. It is encoded in introns of ribosomal protein L1 in Xenopus and human, and in introns of elongation factor 1 beta in yeast. RNAcentral also lists the same sequence under 5 other names. Lineage: Eukaryota; Metazoa; Chordata; Aves; Charadriiformes; Glareolidae. The record is from Rfam by way of RNAcentral.